AGAAUGCCCGCAAUAUUUCUGGCGCCGUAUGUCCUAGCUCCGCUAGGGUUGUUAGCCAGCUGUUGCGGUCAUGUUG
RNAcentral lists this microRNA precursor (76 nucleotides) under Echinococcus granulosus. RNAcentral describes it as "microRNA egr-mir-10292 precursor". Lineage: Eukaryota; Metazoa; Platyhelminthes; Cestoda; Cyclophyllidea; Taeniidae. The record is from miRBase by way of RNAcentral.